GAUGAACGCUGGCGGCGUGCUUAACACAUGCAAGUCGAACGAGAAUCAACGGAUUGAGGAUUCGUCCAAAUGAAGUUGAGGAAAGUGGCGGACGGGUGAGUAACGCGUGAGGAACCUGCCUCAAAGAGGGGGACAACAGUUGGAAACGACUGCUAAUACCGCAUAAGCCCACAGCUCGGCAUCGAGCAGAGGGAAAAGGAGUGAUCCGCUUUGAGAUGGCCUCGCGUCCGAUUAGCUGGUUGGUGAGGUAACGGCCCACCAAGGCGACGAUCGGUAGCCGGACUGAGAGGUUGAACGGCCACAUUGGGACUGAGACACGGCCCAG
This 325-nucleotide ribosomal RNA is filed under the name uncultured bacterium. RNAcentral's name for it is "bacterial SSU rRNA". It matches the Rfam family "Bacterial small subunit ribosomal RNA", at positions 28 to 334 of the family's 1533-position model. The record is from RNAcentral.